RNAcentral lists this ribosomal RNA (515 nucleotides) under uncultured bacterium. RNAcentral's name for it is "partial 16S ribosomal RNA". It matches the Rfam family "Bacterial small subunit ribosomal RNA", at positions 28 to 523 of the family's 1533-position model. The record is from RNAcentral.
GAUGAACGCUGGCGGCGUGCCUAAUACAUGCAAGUCGAGCGAACGGACGAGAGUGCUUGCACUCUCUGAUGUUAGCGGCGGACGGGUGAGUAACACGUGGGUAACCUACCUAUAAGACUGGGAUAACUUCGGGAAACCGGAGCUAAUACCGGAUAAUAUUUAGCUUCGCAUGAAGCAAUAGUGAAAGACGGUUCUGCUGUCACUUAUAGAUGGACCCGCGGUGUAUUAGCUAGUUGGUGAGGUAACGGCUCACCAAGGCAACGAUACAUAGCCGACCUGAGAGGGUGAGCGGCCACACUGGGACUGAGACACGGCCCAGACUCCUACGUGAGGCAGCAGUAGGGAAUCUUCCGCAAUGGACGAAAGUCUGACGGAGCAACGCCGCGUGAGUGAAGAAGGUUUUCGGAUCGUAAAACUCUGUUGUGAGGGAAGAACAAGUACGUUAGUAACUGAACGUACCUUGACGGUACCUUACCAGAAAGCCACGGCUAACUACGUGCCAGCCGCCGCAGUAA